GUCUGACUUGUAGCUCACUGCUUUCGCAACUGGCCGUUUGCAGUUAACAGUAUAUCUUGGAAAUCAUUCCAUAUCCGUUCUUAAGGUGCAAAUGUAUUUGGGGAGCUGAUUUUAGGGAUCUCUCUUUAACACCAAAAGUUUUCACAGAUCCCCAUGAAGAAGACUUGAUAUUACCAAAGACGUCCUGAAUUCAGGAAUAGUUUAAGGCCGCCAGGCUUCUCUGUCCAUGGAAUUCUCCAGGCAGGAAUACUGGAGUGGAUAGCUAUUCCCUUCUCCAGAGGAUCUUCCAGACCAAGGGAUUGGACCUGCGUCUCCUGUGUCUCCUGCAUUGGGGAUCUUCCCAACCCAGGGAUCGAACCCAAGUCUUCCACAUCGCAGGCGGAUUCUUUACCAACUGAGCUAGGUGGAAAAAGAAGAAAAAUGAAGGAGAGGAGAACUUUUCCCCACAGACCUUGCCACUCACCCAGACCCCACCUCAAAAUAAAGCAGGGCGGCAUCCUCCAGUUUUCAGAUUUCCUUAUCUCUAAGAAGACCAACCAUGACAAUUUUAUGACCCAAAUGUAAGGAUGCAUUUUUUGGUUAUUAAAUGAGCUAAGUGACUUCAGAUCUGAAUGGGCAGUGAAAUAAAUAAUAUAUGUAUAUUUAAAAUUUUCCCUCUGUUUCUAAUUUUCCCGGAAAG
Long non-coding RNA from Bos taurus (domestic cattle), 679 nucleotides. The record is from Ensembl. NCBI's taxonomy places the organism in Eukaryota, Metazoa, Chordata, Mammalia, Artiodactyla, Bovidae.